RNAcentral lists this microRNA (21 nucleotides) under Bos taurus (domestic cattle). RNAcentral describes it as "bta-miR-2370-3p". Lineage: Eukaryota; Metazoa; Chordata; Mammalia; Artiodactyla; Bovidae. The record is from miRBase by way of RNAcentral.
UAAGCAACUUUCCUUUCUCCA